AACGAACGCUGGCGGCAGGCUUAACACAUGCAAGUCGAACGCACCUUUCGGGGUGAGUGGCUGACGGGUGAGUAACGCGUGGGAUUCUACCCUUCUCUCCGGGAUAGCUCCGGGAAACUGGAAUUAAUACCGUAUACGUCCUGAGGGAGAAAGAUUUAUCGGGGAAGGAUGAGCCCGCGUUGGAUUAGCUAGUGGGUGGGGUAAAGGCCUACUAAGGCGACGAUCCAUAGCUGGUCUAAGAGGAUGAUCAGCCACAUUGGGACUGAGACACGGCCCAAACUCCUACGAGAGGCAGCAGUGGGGAAUAUUGGACAAUGGGCGCAAGCCUGAUCCAGCCAUGCCGCGUGAGUGAUGAAGGCCCUAGGGUUGUAAAGCGCUUUCAGUGGGGACGAUAAUGACGGUACCCACAGAAGAAGCCCCGGCUAACUUCGUG
This 433-nucleotide ribosomal RNA is filed under the name uncultured bacterium. Its description in RNAcentral is "partial 16S ribosomal RNA". It matches the Rfam family "Bacterial small subunit ribosomal RNA", at positions 29 to 507 of the family's 1533-position model. The record is from RNAcentral.